Molecule: ribosomal RNA, 413 nt
Filed under: uncultured bacterium
Lineage: Bacteria
Description: bacterial SSU rRNA
Rfam family: Bacterial small subunit ribosomal RNA
Source: RNAcentral
CUCCCGCCGCGCCCCGCGCCCGGCCCGCCGCCCCCGCCCCCCUACGGGAGGCAGCAGUGGGGAAUUUUGGACAAUGGGCGCAAGCCUGAUCCAGCCAUGCCGCGUGAGUGAAGAAGGCCUUCGGGUUGUAAAGCUCUUUUGGCGGGGACGAAACGGUCCGUGCUAACACCACGGACUAAUGACGGUACCCGCAGAAGAAGCCCCGGCUAACUACGUGCCAGCAGCCGCGGUAAUACGUAGGGUGCGGGCGUUAUCGGAAUUACUGGGCGUAAAGCGUGCGUNGGCGGUUUCUUAAGACAGGUGUGAAAUCCCCGGGCUUCACCUGGGAACUGCGCUUGUCACUGGCGGUCUGGAGUGUGGCGGAGGGGGGUGGAAUUNCAGGUGAAGCUNAGAAAAGUGAAGAAAWCUGGAGG